This is an RNA transcript of Carassius gibelio (silver crucian carp), 974 nucleotides long. RefSeq lists it as uncharacterized. The transcript has 4 exons. Lineage: Eukaryota; Metazoa; Chordata; Actinopteri; Cypriniformes; Cyprinidae. The record is from RefSeq and is a predicted model, not a curated record.
UAGUCAGCCCAUGUUUGCUGUGUAAGCUUUGAUGUAAUUUGAUGAAAAUGGAUGAUGUGUUUGAUCAUCUCUAAGAAUACACCAGUUUUCUGUGGGAGCAGUGAUGGAUAGGAGUCUGUUUGUGCUUCUGUCAGGCCAAAAAAGAUUGCACAACGACAUAUCCAUUUUACUGCAGCAGUAGUGAAGGCAAAAGGGUGGUGUUGCAGAUGCAGUUGAAGCCUGUUGGACAGGUGAACAUGAAGGACCCUGUAAUUAGGGCCAACAUGUUAGCUAAGAUCAAUGAUAAAUUUGACAAACUUGGGUUUGGCAAUGCUGUCCAAAUACGGUGGCUCACAAGGCGGGAACCACAGAGGAAAAACAGUGAAAAUGACACUUGCACAUUCUUAGAUACUCUGUAGGGUUUUUUUCUUAUUUUGUAUAAAAUAAUCUAAUUGUAACAGAUUCUUAUAAUGCUGAGUUAUAACAUAUAAUGUGGGCACUUUAGGUUUAUCCAUAUAUUGCAUAUGGUUUUGAUAGAAAACACCUCUUGAAUUAAAAAAAGUAGUCAAACCUUUUUCUGUAUUCUGUAUCCUUAUUUUAAAAAAAAAGUAACUUUUAGAUCAACUUCAAAAAAAUGUGUUGAACUCUUCAACUCUUUAAAAUUAUUUAUUUUGAUCAACAUCAGCAUCAGAAGUAAUUUGAACUGAAAUGAAUUUUGUAAUUUUGCAGCCUUUGUCUUCUUGCUAGUAUGAAUGUGCAUGUAAUGAUUACCUUCUGUGGAAAGUAGCUGUUUAUUUUAACUGGAGUGGCAAACAUGAGGCAGAACUGGCCAAAAUGCUUGUUCUUUUUUCAAUAAUAAAAUGUACUUCUCUCUAUUUGCCAUGCAUGCACCUUUCAGACGUGCAUCAAUUGUUAUAUCAUAAGGGGGACACAGCUUUAACUUAAAAUAUCAAAUGUAUUUUAAAACAUUUUAUUAAAAUUCACUUGUAUGACCA